AGUGAACGCUGGCGGUAGGCCUAACACAUGCAAGUCGAACGGCAGCACAGUAAGAGCUUGCUCUUACGGGUGGCGAGUGGCGGACGGGUGAGGAAUACAUCGGAAUCUACUUUUUCGUGGGGGAUAACGUAGGGAAACUUACGCUAAUACCGCAUACGACCUACGGGUGAAAGCAGGGGAUCUUCGGACCUUGCGCGAUUGAAUGAGCCGAUGUCGGAUUAGCUAGUUGGCGGGGUAAAGGCCCACCAAGGCGACGAUCCGUAGCUGGUCUGAGAGGAUGAUCAGCCACACUGGAACUGAGGCACGGUCCAGACUCCUACGGGAGGCAGCAGUGGGGAAUAUUGGACAAUGGGCGCAAGCCUGAUCCAGCCAUACCGCGUGGGUGAAGAAGGCCUUCGGGUUGUAAAGCCCUUUUGUUGGGAAAGAAAAGCAGCAGGUUAAUACCCCGCUGUUCUGACGGUACCCAAAGAAUAAGCCCCGGCUAACUUCGUG
Molecule: ribosomal RNA, 492 nt
Filed under: uncultured bacterium
Lineage: Bacteria
Description: partial 16S ribosomal RNA
Rfam family: Bacterial small subunit ribosomal RNA
Source: RNAcentral